AAGGUUUUAAGUUAAGUUAAACUAUCAGCCUUCAAAGCUAACAAUAAAGAAGAGUCUUUAAGCCUUA
RNAcentral lists this transfer RNA (67 nucleotides) under Neoperla ignacsiveci. RNAcentral describes it as "tRNA-Trp". It matches the Rfam family "tRNA". From Rfam's summary of the family: Transfer RNA (tRNA) molecules are approximately 80 nucleotides in length. Their secondary structure includes four short double-helical elements and three loops (D, anti-codon, and T loops). The record is from RNAcentral. Lineage: Eukaryota; Metazoa; Arthropoda; Insecta; Plecoptera; Perlidae.